CCGUAGAUUAGAUAUGUUUUGUAUUGUCUUCAUUUAUUCGGAAAUAAUGUAGUUGCAAGGCUACGCCAUGACAGAAUUUAGCAAUCUUGUUUUCUAAUUAUUCUCUCUGCGCAUGAUUUGUCUCUUACUUUUCUUUUUUUUUUUCCUUAUUAGUUAUUUUUGUAACAUAUCUUACGUCAUUUCCAGGCAAGUUUCAUUUUCGACUCC
Molecule: non-coding RNA, 207 nt
Organism: Biomphalaria pfeifferi
Lineage: Eukaryota; Metazoa; Mollusca; Gastropoda; Planorbidae
Source: the annotation of a GenBank genome assembly